Molecule: transfer RNA, 77 nt
Filed under: Bradyrhizobium sp. C9
Lineage: Bacteria; Pseudomonadati; Pseudomonadota; Alphaproteobacteria; Hyphomicrobiales; Nitrobacteraceae
Also listed under: 1 other name
Description: tRNA-Thr
Rfam family: tRNA
About the family: Transfer RNA (tRNA) molecules are approximately 80 nucleotides in length.
Source: RNAcentral
GCCCGCAUAGCUCAGCGGUAGCAGCGCUCGCAUUGUAGGCGAGAGGUCGCAGGUUCGAUCCCAUGCUGCGGGCACCA